This is a long non-coding RNA of Vulpes vulpes (red fox), 1056 nucleotides long. Lineage: Eukaryota; Metazoa; Chordata; Mammalia; Carnivora; Canidae. The record is from Ensembl.
ACAAGACUCAUCAUGCUUUUGCUAUUUCCCAAGGAAUAUAUUUUGAUGAAUUCUGCAUUUCCAAUUUAGACAAAAAAGCAUUAAAAUAAUUCUAAUGAAAUUAGUGAGAUGAGUGCUAAUGUAGUUUCUAAGUACUGUAAUAGUGUUUUGCAUGUGGGAACAGAGACUAUCAAAGUCAGUUCAAGAAUGUUGAAAAUAGAAUGCCUUCCUCUCUUGACAGUUUUUUUCAGAGAGAAGAAAUGGCAAGGGAGACAGAUUUUCAUUUUCCUCAGUCCCUUAAAUUAACACCUUUAAGCCGAAUUAUGCUGAAAAAUGAAAAUGUAUAUGUAUGAAGAGUGCACACUAACUUUUUCAAGAUAGACUGAUGUUCAAAGAAAACAAAGACAUGUGACAGAAGAUAGUACAACAAAAGCUAAAAACUGUGUCGAGAUGAUUUCAAUGUCACACACCAUACGAUGACAUUUUUUAGAUGCUGCAUACCAAUUCAGUUCCCAAUGAUGUGGAAUGUGGGAUGUCAUACCGAAAACGUCUCCCAGGGGCACCUUGGUGGCUCAAUCUAUUAAGUGGCUGCCUUCAGCUCAGAGUCAUGAUCCCAGAAUCCCUGGAUGGAGCCCUACAUCAGGCUUUCUGCUCAACAGGUGUCUGCUUCUCCCUCUCUCUCUGCCCCUCCUCCUGUUUGCCCUCUCUUUCUCUUUUUCUCAUUCUCUCUCUCAAAUCAAUGAAUAAAAUCUUUAAAAAAAAGAAAAGAAAAAAGAAAAUAUCUCUCAAAUCAAUGUCUUCAGCUUUGCUCUUUUUUGUGAGUUCUAGGUUUUUGUUUCUCUAUGGACAUGUUUCUUACUGAAUAUUUUGCUACCAUUUUAAACAUGGUAUUUAAAAAGUAUAAAAUGUUUAACCACAGGAUUGUUUUCUUGACUAUUUUAUCUAUAUUCCAAAGAAACUAUAUUUCUUGUGGUCAAAGAGGUUUGAAACCUUAGAGAUGUUUUUGUCCUCAGUGCUUUAUUUCUCUACCAAGUUCUAUUACUUUCCUUCUGUAAAAUUUCACAGGUUUGACUGUGA